This 285-nucleotide unclassified non-coding RNA is filed under the name uncultured Marasmius. Its description in RNAcentral is "sequence contains ITS2". The record is from RNAcentral. Lineage: Eukaryota; Fungi; Basidiomycota; Agaricomycetes; Agaricales; Tricholomataceae.
AAUUCUCAACUUCAAUAGUUUUUUAAUAACUUGUUGAAGCUUGGAUGUGGAGGUUUGCUGGCGUCUUUUAAGAUGUUUUCGGCUCCUCUUAAAUGCAUUAGUAGGAACCCGUUUUGUUGGCUUCUAAAGUGUGAUAAUUAUCUACGCUUUGGUUAGUUCAACGGCUCUGACUUCAGAAUGCUGAGGUGUUCUGGACUUGGGUGUUGCACUUUUGUGCUUACCUUGUUUUAUUAGAGUGGGACUCUGCUUUCCAACCGUCUGCAUAUAUGCGGACAAUUUUUGACA